Molecule: ribosomal RNA, 489 nt
Filed under: uncultured bacterium
Lineage: Bacteria
Description: bacterial SSU rRNA
Rfam family: Bacterial small subunit ribosomal RNA
Source: RNAcentral
GACGAACGCUGGCGGCGUGCUUAACACAUGCAAAGUUGAACGGGCAUACAUGGAAGCUUGCUGAAGUGUAUGUUAGUAGCGGACGGGUGAGUAAUGCAUGAGGACCUGCCUACCGGAGGGGGACAACAGUUGGAAACGGCUGCUAAUACCCCGUAUGCCGAGAGGUGAAAGGAAUGGAGACAUUCCGCCGGGAGAGGGACUCAUGUCCUAUCAGCUAGUUGGUGAGGUAACGGCUCACCAAGGCGACGACGGGUAGCCGGCCUGAGAGGGCGACCGGCCACACUGGAACUGAGAGACGGUCCAGACUCCUACGGGAGGCAGCAGUGGGGAAUAUUGGGCAAUGGGGGCAACCCUGACCCAGCGACGCCGCGUGAGGGAAGAAGGCCUUCGGGUCGUAAACUUCUUUUGUACGUGAAGAAGCAGAUGACGGUAGCGUACGAAUAAGUCCCGGCGUAACUACGUGCCAGCAGCGCGGUAAACUGUAGUCGU